This 302-nucleotide unclassified non-coding RNA is filed under the name uncultured fungus. RNAcentral describes it as "sequence contains ITS2". The stretch from base 1 to 52 matches the Rfam family "5.8S ribosomal RNA", at positions 103 to 154 of the family's 154-position model. The record is from RNAcentral. Lineage: Eukaryota; Fungi.
AACGCACCUUGCGCUCCCUGGUAUUCCGGGGAGCAUGCCUGUUUGAGUGUCAUGUAUCUCUCAGCCACUCUUGGAUUUUUCCAAGAUGAAGCUGGAUGUGGAGGCUGCUGGCUUUAUUUAAGGCCUGCUCUUCUUAAAUACAUUAGUGUGAAUGUUGCUAAAUGUUCCCCAGUGUAAUAAUCAUUUGCGCUGUUUGGAACUUUGGCUGAAACUAUAUCAUUCAUGCUUACAAAACUGGGUCUUUAACAAGACUACAUUUUGCAUUUGACCUCAAAUCAGGUAGGACUACCCGCUGAACUUAA